UGAGUGUGAUCUGGCUGUGACAUCAGCAUCCCACUGAUUACUAGGGUUGAUUCAUCUGAUUUUGCUGACUGGUCUGGGAUCCAUAUACUUCAUUCA
This 96-nucleotide small RNA is filed under the name Canis lupus familiaris (dog). Its description in RNAcentral is "7SK RNA". The record is from Rfam by way of RNAcentral. Lineage: Eukaryota; Metazoa; Chordata; Mammalia; Carnivora; Canidae. RNAcentral also lists the same sequence under 1 other name.